UAAAUUCGUCAUUCGAACGCCUAGGAUCC
Molecule: non-coding RNA, 29 nt
Filed under: Mus musculus (house mouse)
Lineage: Eukaryota; Metazoa; Chordata; Mammalia; Rodentia; Muridae
Source: RNAcentral